UACGAAGGAUGCAAGCGUUAUCCGGAUUCAUUGGGUUUAAAGGGCGCGUAGGUGGCCUGCUAAGUCAGUGGUGAAAUCUCUGGGCUUAACCCAGAAAUUGCCAUUGAUACUGGUGGGCUUGAGUGCAGUUGCUGUUGGCGGAAUAUGACAUGUAGUGGUGAAAUACAUAGAGAUGUCAUAGAACACCGAUUGCGAAGGCAGCUAACAAAACUGUAACUGACACUGAGGCUCGAAAGUGUGGGGAUCAAACAGG
Molecule: ribosomal RNA, 253 nt
Filed under: uncultured bacterium
Lineage: Bacteria
Description: partial 16S ribosomal RNA
Rfam family: Bacterial small subunit ribosomal RNA
Source: RNAcentral